This is a long non-coding RNA of Ipomoea nil (Japanese morning glory), 166 nucleotides long. RefSeq lists it as uncharacterized. The transcript is spliced from 2 exons. The record is from RefSeq and is a predicted model, not a curated record. NCBI's taxonomy places the organism in Eukaryota, Viridiplantae, Streptophyta, Magnoliopsida, Solanales, Convolvulaceae.
CUUGUGGUGGUAAUGAGGUUCAUGUGUGUUUUUGCAUUUGCAAAAUUGGUGAGAAUUUAUUUGAAGAUUUGGAAAAACAUAUUUUAGUGUUUCUUGUCAAAUAAACAAGAUGUUUGCAUUUAAAACAAACAUUUAAUGUGCUAAGUUUGAUAUGCUUGAAACUUUC